This 332-nucleotide ribosomal RNA is filed under the name uncultured eukaryote. RNAcentral describes it as "partial 18S ribosomal RNA". It matches the Rfam family "Eukaryotic small subunit ribosomal RNA", at positions 1470 to 1796 of the family's 1831-position model. The record is from RNAcentral.
CCCUUAGAUGUUCUGGGCUGCACACGUGCUACACUGGCAGGUUCAGCGAGCUUCAUGCCCUGAUCUGAAAGGAAUGGGAAAUCUUUUCAAAACCUGCCGUGCUUGGGAUAGAUGUUUGCAAUUAUUCAUCUUCAACGCGGAUUGCCUUGUAAGCGCACGUCAUCAGCGUGCAUUGAAUACGACCCUGUAUUCUGUACACACCGCCCGUCGCUCCUACCGAUUGAAGUUUUCGGUGAGUUGACAGGAGGAUUUUUUUGAAACUGGUUCGCCAGUGGAUUUUAGAUCCAAAUGCCAACGAAUCGAUGGCUUUAGAGGAAGGAGAAGUCGUAACA